UACGUAGGGGGCAAGCGUUGUCCGGAUUUAUUGGGCGUAAAAAGCGUGUAGGCGGCCAUACAGGUCCGUUGUGAAAACUGGAGGCUUAACCUCCAGACGUCGAUGGAAACCGUAUGGCUAGAGUCCGGAAGAGGAGAGUGGAAUUCCUGGUGUAGCGGUGAAAUGCGCAGAUAUCAGGAAGAACACCCGUGGCGAAGGCGGCUCUCUGGGACGGUACUGACGCUGAGACGCGAAAGCGUGGGGAGCGAACAGG
Molecule: ribosomal RNA, 253 nt
Filed under: uncultured bacterium
Lineage: Bacteria
Description: partial 16S ribosomal RNA
Rfam family: Bacterial small subunit ribosomal RNA
Source: RNAcentral